AUUGUUCGCAAUGGGCGCAAGCCUGACGACGCAACGCCGCGUGGAGGAUGAAGAUUUUCGGAUCGUAAACUCCUGUCGAAUGGGACGAACAGAUUGCGGGUAACAGCCCGUGGUCCUGACGGUACCGUUAAAGGAAACCCCGGCUAACUCCGUGCCAGCAGCCGCGGUAAUACGGGGGGGGUAAGCGUUGUUCGGAAUUACUGGGCGUAAAGGGCUCGUAGGCGGCCAACUAAGUCGGACGUGAAAUCCCUCAGCUUAACUGGGGAACUGCGUCCGAUACUGGAUGGCUUGGAUUUGGGAGAGGGAUGCGGAAUUCCAGGUGUAGCGGUGAAAUGCGUAGAUAUCUGGAGGAACACCGGUGGCGAAGGCGGCAUCCUGGACCAACAUUGACGCUGAGGAGCGAAAGCUAGGGGAGCAAACGGGAUUAGAUACCCCGGUAGUCCUAGCCCUAAACGAUGAAUGCUUGGUGUGGCGGGUAUCGAUCCCUGCCGUGCCGAAGCUAACGCAUUAAGCAUUCCGCCUGGGGAGUACGGUCGCAAGGCUGAAACUCAAAGGAAUUGACGGGGGCCCGCACAAGCGGUGGAGCAUGUGGUUCAAUUCGACGCAACGCGAAGAACCUUACCCAGGCUUGAACUGCGAGUGACCACGCCCGAAAGGGCGCUUUCGCAAGAACACUCGUAGAGGUGCUGCAUGGCUGUC
Molecule: ribosomal RNA, 699 nt
Filed under: uncultured Acidobacteriaceae bacterium
Lineage: Bacteria; Pseudomonadati; Acidobacteriota; Terriglobia; Terriglobales; Acidobacteriaceae
Description: bacterial SSU rRNA
Rfam family: Bacterial small subunit ribosomal RNA
Source: RNAcentral